Molecule: transfer-messenger RNA, 404 nt
Filed under: Candidatus Saccharibacteria bacterium RIFCSPHIGHO2_01_FULL_48_12
Lineage: Bacteria; Candidatus Saccharimonadota
Also listed under: 2 other names
Rfam family: transfer-messenger RNA
About the family: Bacterial tmRNA, also known as 10Sa RNA or SsrA, is named for its dual tRNA and mRNA-like properties. Its role is to liberate the mRNA from a stalled ribosome. To accomplish this part of the tmRNA is used as a reading frame that ends in a translation stop signal.
Source: RNAcentral
GGGGCUGAAUUUAAGCUCGACGGUUGAACUUUAACAAGCUUUGCAUACAGGCCGGGUCGCACUAAACGUUAUCUGGUGCACAAAUUUAAACGCCAAAAACGUUUUGGCUACAAUCGCUAGCGCCUUUCGCGCACCAGCGCUCGUAGCUGUCAAAGCCUAAGAAUUCGAAGGCUUUCCAUCGGGAUUCUGACGUCAGAUAGGGAUUCUCCGGUGUCAUAUCAUCUGAUUGCUUCUGGUUUUGGUGGUCCGCCAAGCCCAGAUCAAGACUAACGGACUUUAGCUUGAUUCUCUUUUGACUGUUUUUGAAGAGUUUUGCUGAAACAAAAUUUAAAUAGUAUAUGCCUGUAAAAUUGUGCAAGCAUGUUAUCAAUCGGACGUGGGGGCAGUACCCACCAGCUCCACCA